This 497-nucleotide ribosomal RNA is filed under the name uncultured bacterium. Its description in RNAcentral is "partial 16S ribosomal RNA". It matches the Rfam family "Bacterial small subunit ribosomal RNA", at positions 28 to 507 of the family's 1533-position model. The record is from RNAcentral.
GAUGAACGCUGGCGGCGUGCCUAAUACAUGCAAGUCGAACGGACAGACGAGGAGCUUGCUCCUCUGACGUUAGCGGCAGACGUGUGUGACACACGUGGAUCCCCUACCUAUAAGUCUGGGAUCAUUUCGAGAAACCGGCUAAUAUACCGGAGAAUAUCUUGCAGCGCAGUGGUCGUUGGAGAGAGACGGCAUUUCUGGAAGUUAUAGCUGGAUACGCGCCGCAUGGUCGAGUUGUUCAGGUAAAGGCUUACCACGGCGACGAUGCGUGGCCGAACGGAGAGGGUGACAGGCCACACGGGAGCGUAGACACGGUCCAGACUCCUACGGGAGGCAGCAGUAGGGAAUCUGCCGCAAUGGUGGGAAGCCUGGCGCAGCAACGCCGCGUGAGUGACGAAGGUCCUCGGAUCGUAAAGCCCUGUUAUUGGUGAAGAACAAAUGUGUAAUUAACUAUGGACGUCUUGACGGUACCGAAUCAGAAAGCCCCGGCUAACUACGUG